UCUCUAGUAGCUCAAAUUGUGAGAGUGUAGCACUGAAGUUGCUAAGGUGAAUAAUUUAAUUCCUAGGGAC
This 70-nucleotide transfer RNA is filed under the name Thylacodes squamigerus. RNAcentral describes it as "tRNA-Phe". The record is from RNAcentral. Lineage: Eukaryota; Metazoa; Mollusca; Gastropoda; Littorinimorpha; Vermetidae.